AAAAAAAUAAACAUUGGUUUUUCGUGUUCAACUUUGAUUGUCCGUCUUAUAUGAAUUUUUUUAUAAUUCGUAUUUUUAUUGUUGUUAGAUGAUAAAACAUGAUUAAUAUUUUAUAUGUAACUUGUCUUUUUAAUUUUUUUUAUAAUUUUUUUAAAUAAGAUGGACACGUUGGACACGGAAAGUAGGGUUCGUAGG
Molecule: microRNA precursor, 195 nt
Filed under: Oryza sativa Indica Group (long-grained rice)
Lineage: Eukaryota; Viridiplantae; Streptophyta; Magnoliopsida; Poales; Poaceae
Description: MIR812 microRNA precursor family
Rfam family: MIR812 microRNA precursor family
Source: Rfam by way of RNAcentral